CCCUCCCCCCUCCACGCCCCCGGGCCGAGUCAGGCUCCCGCCCCGCGUGUCUUCCGAACGGCACCGCGCUCGUCUCCGGCCAAAGGCAAGGCAGCCCAGCCCAGAAAAUUGGCUAAGUGAAGUCACCAGGUGAUGGCAUCCUACGGUGCGCCUUGGGCAAAAACAGCAGCUCGGCAGCGCGUCCGGGGCCAAAAUCAGCAGCUCGGCCACGUGGUCCGUGAAGUCCCCGGAAAGCCGGCUUUCCUACGCGUGACCGAUAUGCGCCCGGGGCAGUUCGCCCCGGCGGCAGGGCUGAAAACCAGCCGUUCGCCCAGGCGUCGCAGCGGCUCGGCAUGGCGUCCGUGGACAGGCCAAGUCCCCCGGGCCGACGGCGCCCGGUGGGCGGAAACAGCGGUUCGCCCUGGCGCCAGGGCUGAAAACCAGCCGUUCGGCAAGGCGGUCCGUGGAAGACAGGCCAAGUCCCCGGGCCGACGGCGCCCGCGGGGCGCAAACAGCUGUUCGCCCUGGCGCCAGGGCCGAAAACCAGCAGUUCGCCCAGGCGUCCACGCUGAGACGCAGCGGUUCGGCAGGGCGGUCCGCGGACUGGCCAAGUCCCCGGGCCGACGGCGCCCGCGGGGCAGAAACAGCGGUUCGCCCUGGCGCCAGGGCUGAAAACCAGCAGUUCGCCCAAGCGCCGGAGCUGAGACGCAGCGGUUCGGCAGGUCGGUCCGCGGAGAGCCGUGCUCGGGCUACGGGGCGUGCACACGACUUAGGUGCCACCGCACCGUACACCACUGGGGCUGAGCAUGCACCUACGGACCUGCGGCAAAGUGUGCGUGGUCGGAUCGACUUGCGGCAAAGUGUGCGUGGUUUGGAUGGAUGGGUGGGCGGAUGGCUGGAUGGAUUGGCGGGUGGAUGGCAAGGAACGCACCACGCAUGACGGAUAUGCCUCACGAGGUCAUGGGAGAAGGAGCAGCCCAAGUCCCUGGGAAAGCCGGCCUUCAUACGCGCAUCGAGGUGCACGCGGCGCAAAAACUGCAGUUCGGCAUGGUGUCUAGGUGAAGGGCACGGCGAAAACGAGCCAAAAAGGGCGAAAAACGACCCAAAAACGGGCCAAAACGGGCCACAGACGGCCCGCGGGUCCCGGGCCCACCGAGGUGGCCCACGGGGCCCAAGGGACCCACCCAUGGUGGCCCCACCCAAAAAGUCCAUGGUUCGGUCCAUCCACGGAAAACGACUGUCGGGCGCCUCCGGGGCGGAAACCAGCGUUUCUGAGCAAAAACUAGCCAAAACUUCACAUCACAUGGAUUUCCUGAGGUCCUCCAAAACGUCUGAAGGAACCAUACAGAAAACUGCCAGAACUCCUGGGGGGGCUGGAUGCCCCUCGGGUAUAUUAGGGGAAGAGGGUUCGGUUGGAGGAGACCUCGGGUGAACUGGCUGAAAACCACAAGGUUUUUGAAGCCAUGUUUUCGUGAGGGCUCCUCCAUAAAGUCGGUCACGUAUCCCCCGGCCUCCAUGGCUGGCCGACGACCGGCCGUGGCUAGCUUCGGCUAGCUGCAGCUGGUUGUUGGCUGGCCAUGGCGGCUGGCAUGCGGCCUUCGGUGGCUGCAUGCUAGUGACCGCACUGGGAGAAGUUUCGGCGUCGCCUGACCUCCGUGGCUGGCUUGUAGCCUACGGCGGCCUGCUUCGGCGGGCUGCUAUGGGCUGUGGGCUGGCUUGGUGGCCAGCGUGUUGUCGGAACGACUCCCGGCCUCCCUGGCUGGCCGGCUGCCUACGGCGGCCUGCUUGGGUGGGCUGCUGCGGGCGACUGGCUUGCUGGGUUGGCUAUCGUGUUGUUGGAACGGUUUCGGUGACUUGCGGCCUCCUUGGCCGGUCGGCAGCUUGCGGUGGCCUGCUUCGGCGGGCUGCUUUGGGUAGCUGGCUGGCUAGGGUGGCUAGCUUGUUGUUGGAACUGUUUUGAUGAUGCGCCGCCUUCUUGGCUGGCUGGAAGCCUGCGGCGGCCUGCUUUGGCGGGAUGCUGUGGGUAGCUGGCUGGCUGGGGUGGCCAACGUGUUGUUGGGAUUGUUUCGGUGACUCGCGGCCUCCUUGGAUGGCCGGCAGCCUUCGGUGGCCUGCUUCUGCGGGCUGCUGUGGGCGGCUGGCUCCCAUGGGAGGAAGCUUGUUGCUGGAACGGUUUCGGCUGCACGGUUUUGGCCCGCUGUUGGAUAAGUUUCGGUUUCUCGUGUUGUUGGGAUUGUUUCGGUGACUCGCGGCCUCCCUGGAUGGCCGGCAGCCUUCGGUGGCCUGCUUCUGCGGGCUGCUGUGGGCAGCUGGCUCCCGUGGGAGGAAGCUUGCUGCUGGAACGGUUUCAGCUGCACGGUUUUGGCCCGCUGUUGGAUAAGUUUCGGUUUCUCUCGCGCUCUGUGGACCCUCGGUUGCCGUCCUCGCAAGCAGACUCACCGUGCCUAGCGCGGAGGGAUGCUUUGGAUGGCUUAACCGUCGUGGCUACGCUGGCGCAUGAGUUGUUUUGGACCUGUGACUGCUUGGAGGACCCCCGCCGGUGUGCGGCUGACUCCUAGCACCAGCGUCCUGUCAUUCGUGCGGGCACCUUUUGCCUGCUGCUUUGACGAGUGCUUGCGUGCUGCUACCUGUCCCACGGGAAGUUGCGUUCGGUUACAUGUUGCCUUCGUUGAGCGCACCCUCUGGGUGUGGCUCGUCGGCUCUAGAGCACCUGCGGCGUUGCCUCGUGAUGUCGUCCUCCCAGGGUGGCACCGCCAAGGACACCUCGCUUGUGCUUUUGGUUGCGGAUGCGGCUGAUGCCGAAGGCCGGAGGGCGUUGGCCUCCCGUGCCUAAAAACCGAGUCCGUUUGGAAACAACGACAGCCAGCCCGGCCGAUGCCUCGUGCGGAGGUCGGCGCCGGCUCGUCGGCGAGGACGUGC
This 2898-nucleotide unclassified non-coding RNA is filed under the name Saccharum spontaneum (wild sugarcane). RNAcentral describes it as "partial miscellaneous RNA". The record is from RNAcentral. Lineage: Eukaryota; Viridiplantae; Streptophyta; Magnoliopsida; Poales; Poaceae.